CCUACGGGGGGCAGCAGUGGGGAAUAUUGCACAAUGGGGGGAACCCUUGAUCAGCCGACGCCCGGGGAAGGAGGAAGGUUUCCGGACCGUAAACUUCUAUAACCGGGGAGGAAGAAAGUGAAGGUACUGGACUAAAAGGCCCGGCCAAAUAAGUGCCAGGCGCCGCGGGUAUACGUAGGGGGCAAGCGUUAUCCGGAAUCACUGGGUGUAAAGGGGGCGUAGGCGGUAGGGCAAGUCAGAUGUGAAAGCCCGGGGCUCAACCCCGGGACUGCAUUUGAAACUGUCUUACUAGAGUGCAGGAGAGGAAAGCGGAAUUCCUAGUGUAGCGGUGAAAUGCGUAGAUAUUAGGAAGAACACCAGUGGCGAAGGCGGCUUUCUGGACUGUAACUGACGCUGAGGCACGAAAGCGUGGGGAGCGAACAGGAUUAGAUACCCUUGUAGUC
Molecule: ribosomal RNA, 443 nt
Filed under: uncultured bacterium
Lineage: Bacteria
Description: bacterial SSU rRNA
Rfam family: Bacterial small subunit ribosomal RNA
Source: RNAcentral